Molecule: long non-coding RNA, 311 nt
Organism: Puntigrus tetrazona (Sumatra barb)
Lineage: Eukaryota; Metazoa; Chordata; Actinopteri; Cypriniformes; Cyprinidae
Exons: 3
Source: RefSeq, a predicted model, not a curated record
UUUGUGUCGAGGCCUGAAAGCUGAGAAGGGGUUUCAGCCUGGAUCUGUGGUGCUUCUUCAAGGAGGAGAACAGAAGCAGAGAUACUGCACCGACACCGACAUGCUCUUCAGACAGGAGUCGUUUUUCCACUGGACCUUCGGCGUGACGGAGGCCGACUGCUACGGCGCCAUCGACGUCAACUCCAAGAAAUCCAUCCUGUUUGUUCCCAAGCUGCCGGAGAGCUACGCCACGUGGAUGGGCGAGAUAUACUCUCGUGAACACUUCAAGGAGAAGUACGCCAUCAAUGAGGUGCAUCACACCACCGGACGUG